ACGGCGAGUGAAGCGGCAAAAGCUCAAAUUUGAAAUCUGGUCCCCUUUGGGGGCCCGAGUUGUAAUUUGAAGAGGAUGAUUUUGGCGAGGCGCCUUCCGAGUGCCCUGGAACGGGACGCCACAGAGGGUGAGAGCCCCGUAUGGUCGGACGCCGAGCUUAUGUAAAUCUCCUUCUACGAGUCGAGUAGUUUGGGAAUGCUGCUCAAAAUGGGAGGUAAACCCCUUCUAAAGCUAAAUACCGGCCAGAGACCGAUAGCGCACAAGUAGAGUGAUCGAAAGAUGAAAAGCACUUUGAAAAGAGAGUUAAACAGCACGUGAAAUUGUUGAAAGGGAAGCGCUUGCGACCAGACUUGCGCCCGUCGGAUCAACCGUCCCUCGUGGGCGGCGCACUCCGGCGGGCUCAGGCCAGCAUCAGUUUCCCGGGGGGGAGAAAGGCGGUUGGAAUGUAGCUCUUCGGAGUGUUAUAGACUUCCGCGUAAUACCCCCUGGGGGACUGAGGACCGCGC
This 506-nucleotide ribosomal RNA is filed under the name uncultured Doratomyces. Its description in RNAcentral is "eukaryotic LSU rRNA". It matches the Rfam family "Eukaryotic large subunit ribosomal RNA", at positions 86 to 598 of the family's 3401-position model. The record is from RNAcentral. Lineage: Eukaryota; Fungi; Ascomycota; Sordariomycetes; Microascales.